ACCUUACACACAGUGUUUUUUGUUAUUACAAGAACUUUUGCUUUGGUCUGGACUAGAAAUAGUUUGGGCCAGAGGUUUACUGAACUAAACUUCAAUAUUUAUAUUGAAUUGUUAUUUAUUUAAUUGUCAAUUUGUUGAUUAAAUUCAAAAAAUCUUCAAAACUUUCAACAACGGAUCUCUUGGUUCUCGCAUCGAUGAAGAACGCAGCGAAAUGCGAUAAGUAAUAUGAAUUGCAGAUUUUCGUGAAUCAUCGAAUCUUUGAACGCACAUUGCGCCCUCUGGUAUUCCAGAGGGCAUGCCUGUUUGAGCGUCAUUUCUCUCUCAAACCUUCGGGUUUGGUAUUGAGUGAUACUCUUAGUUGAACUAGGCGUUUGCUUGAAAUGUAUUGGCAUGAGUGGUACUGGAUAGUGCUAUAUGACUUUCAAUGUAUUAGGUUUAUCCAACUCGUUGAAUAGUUUAAUGGUAUAUUUCUCGGUAUUCUAGGCUCGGCCUUACAAUAUAACAAACAAGUUUGACCUCAAAUCAGGUAGGAUUACCCGCUGAACUUAAGCAUAUCAAUAAGCGGAGGAAAAGAAACCAACAGGGAUUGCCUUAGUAACGGCGAGUGAAGCGGCAAAAGCUCAAAUUUGAAAUCUGGCACCUUCGGUGUCCGAGUUGUAAUUUGAAGAAGGUAACUUUGGAGUUGGCUCUUGUCUAUGUUCCUUGGAACAGGACGUCACANAGGGUGAGAAUCCCGUGCGAUGAGAUGCCCAAUUCUAUGUAAAGUGCUUUCGAAGAGUCGAGUUGUUUGGGAAUGCAGCUCUAAGUGGGUGGUAAAUUCCAUCUAAAGCUAAAUAUUGGC
RNAcentral lists this small RNA (841 nucleotides) under Debaryomyces hansenii. Its description in RNAcentral is "eukaryotic LSU rRNA". The stretch from base 513 to 841 matches the Rfam family "Eukaryotic large subunit ribosomal RNA", at positions 1 to 327 of the family's 3401-position model. Lineage: Eukaryota; Fungi; Ascomycota; Pichiomycetes; Serinales; Debaryomycetaceae. The record is from RNAcentral.